RNAcentral lists this ribosomal RNA (491 nucleotides) under uncultured bacterium. RNAcentral's name for it is "bacterial SSU rRNA". It matches the Rfam family "Bacterial small subunit ribosomal RNA", at positions 17 to 518 of the family's 1533-position model. The record is from RNAcentral.
UUCUGGCUCAGGAUGAACGCUGGCGGCGUGCAUAACACAUCAAGUCGAACGGGCAGUAUCCUUCGGGGGUGCUGCUAGUGGCGGACGGGUGAGUAAACGCGUGAGCAACCUGCCUCUGUGAGUGGAAUAACACAGGGAAACUUGUGCUAAUACCGCAUGACGAAGCGAAGCCGCAUGACUUUGCUUCCAAAGAUUUAUCGCACAGAGAUGGGCUCGCGUCCGAUUAGGCAGUUGGUGAGGUAACCGGCUCACCAAACCGACGAUCGGUAGCCGGACUGAGAGGUUGAACGGCCACAUUGGAACUGAGAUACGGUCCAGACUCCUACGGGAGGCAGCAGUGGGGAAUAUUGGGCAAUGGGGCCGCAAGCCUAACCCAGCGACGCCGCGUGAGGGAAGAAGGUCUUCGGAUUGUAAACCUCUUUGACGAGGGGACGAAGUAAGUGACGGUACCCUAGAAAACAAGCCACGGCUAACUACGUGCCAGCAGCCGC